GACGAACGCUGGCGGCGUGCCUAAUACAUGCAAGUCGAACGGAAAGGCCCUGCUUUUGUGGGGCGCUCGAGUGGCGAACGGGUGAGUAACACGCGAGUAACCCGCCCCUGACUUUGGGAUAACUCUAGGAAACUGGGGCUAAUACCGGAUAGGAGCUCUUGCUCCAUGGUGGGGGUUGGAAAGUUACGGCGGUUCGGGCUGGAGUCGCGGCUUAUCAGCCUGUUGGGGGGGUAGUGGCUGACCCAGGCUUCGACGGGUAGCCGGCCUGGGAGGGUGACCGGCCCCAUUGGGCUUGGGGUGCGGCCCGGACGCCUACGGGAGGAAGGGGUGGGGACUAUACCGCAAUGGGCGGAGGCAGGGAGCAGCAACGCCGCGUGCGAGAUGACGGCCUUCAGGUUGUAAACCGCUUUCGCCUGUGACGACGCGUGAGUGCCGGUACUGGGCAGAGAGGCACCGCCAACCUACGU
Molecule: ribosomal RNA, 467 nt
Filed under: uncultured bacterium
Lineage: Bacteria
Description: partial 16S ribosomal RNA
Rfam family: Bacterial small subunit ribosomal RNA
Source: RNAcentral